Molecule: long non-coding RNA, 240 nt
Organism: Leptinotarsa decemlineata (Colorado potato beetle)
Lineage: Eukaryota; Metazoa; Arthropoda; Insecta; Coleoptera; Chrysomelidae
Source: RefSeq, a predicted model, not a curated record
UAUGACAAGCAGAAGUGAGGUUAUGUUAUUUUGUUAUGAAUUCCCAAAAUGAUAAAAACGAUUAGUAAACGGUCAUUAUUUUGGCUAUCUACUCAAAAACAGAUCAACAUACCUGACGAUGAACCCUACCCGUACUAUCGACCUCGCUGGACUCGUCUUUGGCAUGGAAAUAUCAGCUUAUCCUUGUUCUUAAUGUACAUAUUUUAUAAAAAGAAGUUGAAUAAAUAUAAAAAAACUGUA